Capsella rubella is the source of this 282-nucleotide long non-coding RNA. RefSeq lists it as uncharacterized. The transcript has 4 exons. NCBI's taxonomy places the organism in Eukaryota, Viridiplantae, Streptophyta, Magnoliopsida, Brassicales, Brassicaceae. The record is from RefSeq and is a predicted model, not a curated record.
UUUAUUGGCCAGUUUGAAGAUCGAUUUGAAUCUAGAUUCUUGAAGUUUUAUCUACCGUUUGAAGCAGCUGAUUGGGUAUAAUUUCUCGUACGACGAUUUCGAUCCACACAAUCAAGCAAAUAUAUUGAGUUGCUGCAAAACAAAAUGCUCAGUUCAAUGGAUGAUGGUGUUAGUGUUUGCAGGCCCAUAUUGAAGCUGCUGAAUGGUGAAGAAUGGGACCUGUCUCUCCAGCACGAUUAGGGCUUCUGAAUGGUGAAGAAUGGGACCUGUGUCUCCAGCACG